Molecule: ribosomal RNA, 495 nt
Filed under: uncultured bacterium
Lineage: Bacteria
Description: partial 16S ribosomal RNA
Rfam family: Bacterial small subunit ribosomal RNA
Source: RNAcentral
GACGAACGCUGGCGGCGUGCCUAAUACAUGCAAGUCGAACGCUGAAGGAGGAGCUUGCUUCUCUGGAUGAGUUGCGAACGGGUGAGUAACGCGUAGGUAACCUGCCUGGUAGCGGGGGAUAACUAUUGGAAACGAUAGCUAAUACCGCAUAAUAGCAGUUGUUGCAUGACAACUGUUUGAAAGGUGCAAUUGCACCACUACCAGAUGGACCUGCGUUGUAUUAGCUAGUUGGUGGGGUAACGGCUCACCAAGGCGACGAUACAUAGCCGCCCUGAGAGGGGGAUCGGCCACACUGGGACUGAGACACGGCCCAGACUCCUACGGGAGGCAGCAGUAGGGAAUCUUCGGCAAUGGACGGAAGUCUGACCGAGCAACGCCGCGUGAGUGAAGAAGGUUUUCGGAUCGUAAAGCUCUGUUGUAAGAGAAGAACGAGUGUGAGAGUGGAAAGUUCACACUGUGACGGUAUCUUACCAGAAAGGGACGGCUAACUACGUG